UUCUUUUAUUUUAUUUUAGAAUAAGGUUUUUUAAACCUUAUUAAACUCCAUCUAUUUGAUAUUAUUAGAAUAAGGAGUUUCACUCCUAUUAGAAUAAGGUUUACAAGCCUAUAAAUAGGCAUAGUCUACUCCUCUUGUAAUUAAUUCGAAUUCGACAUAGUGAAUUUUCUUCUCCUUUGCCCGUGGUUUUUUCCCGAAAGGGUUUCCACGUAAAAUCUGUGUGUUAUUUAUUUUUC
Molecule: long non-coding RNA, 236 nt
Filed under: Gossypium barbadense (sea-island cotton)
Lineage: Eukaryota; Viridiplantae; Streptophyta; Magnoliopsida; Malvales; Malvaceae
Description: long non-coding RNA (GBAR_LNC015032)
Source: RNAcentral